GUUCACCCUCCUUCCCAUUUUUAGGCAGUGAUAUUCUCAGCCCUGCCUCUCCGAGCUUCCCUAGUGUUGUGUCUCUUUCUGGGUCUCUCUCCCUUUCUCUCUUACUUGUGAUCCCAUUCAGGACUGAAACUGCAGCUCAUGAAUAUGACUCAAAGCCCUCUUGGCUCCCAGCUGUCCCCUAAGCUGCAGACAGCCCCCCACUCCGGAUCCCCACAAAUUCUCCGCUCCUCCUGGUGGCAGCCCCCGAGGUCUCCUCUGGGGCGCUUUCCACCUCCAGGCCGUUCAGGGGCAUCCGGCUUGCCAGCUGCUCCAAGACCGUGAUGGGACCCGGAGAUGAGCCCGUGGCUCAGGCCAGCCAGGAAGACGACAUCCUGCUUGGCUGCCGGAACUGGCCGCUGGCUUUGCCAAGCCGUCCAAUACAAGGUGAGCUGCAGCUGGGGCCGCCGUUGCUGCGGCGUGGGGGACCCUCCGUGAAGAAAGCAGACCAGGGACAGAAGAGGAGACAGGUGAAUCCGGCUCCGUCCCCCGCGCGUCUGCAUGGGGCCGUGCGUGCAGGCACCUGCUCCCAGUCUUCUCAGCGGUGGGGGCUGACUCGGUCCCGCCUUCGAGGAAGCUGGUCUGGUUGGGUUUUGGUCACUUGCUGUCAAAGUAGGCACCUCAAGCAAGACUGAGGCCACUCUGUCCCCGGCCCACCAGACCCACUCCUCCUCGUCCGGCCUCCCUGGCUACGUUCGCGGCACCGUGUCCUCUGUCUGCCGGCGACAACUCCAACAUGCUGACUCCUCCCUCCUGAGUGUCCCUUACACGUGGUGCCAAGUUGCAUCUCUGAGUUGUUUCGGUCAUUUCCUCACUGGCUCCCUGUCUCCACUCUGCAGCUUGGACGUUUCUAGAGCACAGCCCUGAGACACCUACUGGGACGCCCAACGGCCUUCACCAACCCGCCUUCGUCCAGAAUCUAGGUCCCUGAUCCAAGCUCUGCUCAUUCCUUCCUUUAUUACGCAUGCGCUUUUCAUGUCCUCGCUGUGGGUCGGCGGGCGUCCCCACCUCCCCAUCAGCCACUAGCCCACCGCCGUCUGGCGGGCCCCACCGCCCGCAUUCAGGGCUCCCCGCACUGUCCCCGGGCCUCCCUGGCUGCCUCUCCCACCGCCACACGAGUGCCAGCCUGUGGGGCGCCUGGGUCGCCACCCAGAAGUGUCCUCCUGCCUCUGAGCACCCACAGCACCCUGUGUUCCUGCACAAGUUGACACCACCGGUCCUUUACGGGGAUCGCUUGCCUCCGUCUUUCCCUCCGAGAUUUCUGGAGAGCGGGGUCUGCGUCUCCCUUGCCUUGGGAUCCCCUAUCCGUACCUGCCCGUCCUGGAUGCUCCCAGAUACUUGCUGAGCGAAUGAAGGAAUAGCCGCGCCCGAGCACUAGCACGAGGCCUCCUGAGCUCCAGCUCCCCUCCCCCCGUUAAAUAAGAAACUUAAAAAAAAAAAAAAAAAAAAAGACCCGACUACGCAGAGGAGAGAGGGAGGGAUGAAGAGUUGAACGUGGAGGAUUUCUCGGGCAGCGAAACUACCCUGGAUGAUACCAUCAUCUUAUGAACAUUCUUAUGAACCCACAGCAUGCACAACCAACCCCAGGAGGGAGUUCCAGGGUGAAGGAUGGACUCUGGGUGACGAUGACCUGGCAGUGAAAGAGCUGGAAGAGGUGGGAACGCACUGAGUGACUCUGAGGACACCGGGAUGGCGCCCACGUCACAUUUGUGUUCCUGGUGUUCGACAGACAACACGCACCAUCACAGGCACCCCACGACACCCACGAUCUGUCUUAGGGUUUUUCUGGCGGGCGAUGGCAUCCUAACAAGGCCACCGAUGAGCUGGCCGGCCUGGGCAAAUCCUUCCAGCCUCUGUCUCGGCUCUGAGACGAUAAGGACUGUUUCUCCUUCCCAGCUCCCUGGGUGUGGGUGACGACAAGGGAGAACACCAGAGGAACACUGCAGUGGGCACACGGCUGCAUAAACACGUCCCAGAUGAGGAAGGGGGAAAAAAAAGUGGGGCCCCCCUAACACAUAAGGAUUCAACAAAUGAAAAUAGCAUCUGAGCAGCGAGAUGACUGCUUUACUUUUUCCCUUCCUGUUCUCCUGUGGUUCCCCAAUUGUCUCCCCUAAGCAGGCAUCGAUUGCUUUGAUUUAAAAGGCCCAUCCGGGAGCUGCUCAGGGCGCACCCCACCCUGGCCUCCCGGGCCCACAGCAUAGGUUCCACCCCGACAGCCAGGCGGCCCCGGGCGGCCCACAGCGAGGGCCAGACACGUCACUGCCGCGUGUGGCUGUGGCUUCCUUCCCCGACAAGUGAAACGGGAAAGGAGAGCCUGCCGCUCUCUUAUUUGGGACACUGGUGCUGGCAGCCUAGCAUCCGAGGGGACUGUUCCGUUGUUGCUGAAAAGCAACCUUCAAUUUUCAGUUUAAAAUAAACCCGGUCGCCCUUCCCAGUUCGUGGCCUCCCGGGGAGUUGCUGGGGGGUUGGGGUUGGACAAGGAAAGGCCCUGGGCUGCUUGGCGCCCAGGCGGGGAGCGGGGAGCGGGGAGCUGGAGGGCCGGGGCACGCUGGGGUCUCCUUCUUGCUUCUUGGCCCCUUCAAGGAGCCUUGGGCACCCACGAGGGGGGCAGAAAUGCAGCGACUCCGAGGAGAUUCAGGCUUAUGUGUGAGCCCAUCGAGUGGCUGAAGCAGGGGCUGGGGGUGUUGCUGCCAGAAGGGCCCAGAAUCCAAACACUCUAAAAUCCUACCUGGGCUUCGCGUCCCUGCUGCUGGGGUGGUCUCUUUCUUUUGAGCGCGAGCCUCCAGCUGUGCUCUCGGGACCCAGCUCCAGGCUCCGGCUCCCACAUCAGUGUGACCCACGCCCCCAGGGCUCUUGCCUCAGUGCAGAGGCUGACUCCAGGUCUGUGGGCCUGAGAGGCUCCUUGUGGCAAGGCAACAAGGCACAGACCUCAUGCCGGGUUUGCGGGCUGCACUGCACCCCCCGCAGGCCUGGUGGAGGCAGACCCCAGCCUUCACUGCAAGGGCGGAGGCCUUGAGGCAGGCCCUUCCUAAGGGCCUGGGGUGCCUCCCUCCCAGCAACUCCGGGGUGGGGGGUGGGGCGGAGGAUGUCCGCUGCACACCAAGGCCCAGUGGAGUCCCCAGCCACCGUGAGGCCUGCGGCAUGGAGUGGCCAGGUGACUGCCCUGCCUGCCGCUUUCUGGGCCUCUCCUGCUUUGCAGGGAGAAUUUUGGCUGCUUGGAUGAGGGCCCCAUGUUUCUCCAGCCCUGGGCAGCAGAGCAGGGUGGCCCAGAAGCAGGUGGGGGGCCCCCAGGACUCUCUCUGGGGCCCUUCGUCUUCCUUCAUUCAAACUGGAGAAGGCCAGCUGGGCCGAGAGAGAGAGAGACACGUGCACUCUGGGGCCAUGGGCUGACUUGGGACCUUGGGGACUGAGUGUGUGCAGAGCUGGCCAGGGAUCGGGUCUACCCACCGGAGAGCUCCUUCCCUGCUUGUCUGGCUCUCCUCCCUCCAGGGAGCCAGCAGGGGCUCUGAGGAGGCCUAGACCUCUGGGGCCUCGAAGCUUGGUCAUCCCCCACGACCCCCUUGGCAGGCUGUUCCCCCAACAUCUAUGGAACGCAGGUGUCCUGUGGACGUUCUGCCCACCUGCCUCCCGGCAACCAGCAUGGCAUCCUUAGGAGGAGCAGCAGGAAGGAGACACUCGGACUGUCCGCUUUGCUUACAUGGUAGCAGGGGCUGUUCCAAGCACCUGUAUCAUAAGCUCUUCUAGUCUGCACGGGAAUCCCACGAGGCAGUAGGGAAAGUAAACAUCCAGAAGAGGGUUGAAAGGGAGGAUGCAGCACAAGGCGUGCGGCUAAGACGGCCUUUGGUAUACAUCGGAGGGCUACCUGUGCUGGGCCGGGAUUCUUUGAAGGCACCACAGAAGAGAAAACCCACACCCACCUUCUUCCCUAAUAAACAGACUAUGGUUAAACGAAGCUCAUUCUAUACAUUUCUAUGGGAACCGAAAAAUAAAUUCUGCAAAAAAA
Long non-coding RNA from Ailuropoda melanoleuca (giant panda), 4039 nucleotides. RefSeq lists it as uncharacterized. The record is from RefSeq and is a predicted model, not a curated record. The transcript is spliced from 3 exons. NCBI's taxonomy places the organism in Eukaryota, Metazoa, Chordata, Mammalia, Carnivora, Ursidae.